Molecule: ribosomal RNA, 877 nt
Filed under: Bacillus sp. YC6904
Lineage: Bacteria; Bacillati; Bacillota; Bacilli; Caryophanales; Bacillaceae
Description: bacterial SSU rRNA
Rfam family: Bacterial small subunit ribosomal RNA
Source: RNAcentral
UCAUGCAAGUCGAGCGNACAGAAGGGAGCUUGCUCCCGGUAUGUUAGCGGCGGACGGGUGAGUAACACGGUGGGCUAACCUGCCUGAUAAGACUGGGAUAACUCCGGGAAACCGGAGCUAAUACCGGAUAGUUCCUUGAACCGCAUGGUUCAAGGAUGAAAGACGGUUUCGGCUGUCACUUACAGAUGGACCCGCGGCGCAUUAGCUAGUUGGUGGGGUAAUGGCUCACCAAGGCGACGAUGCGUAGCCGACCUGAGAGGGUGAUCGGCCACACUGGGACUGAGACACGGCCCAGACUCCUACGGGAGGCAGCAGUAGGGAAUCUUCCGCAAUGGACGAAAGUCUGACGGAGCAACGCCGCGUGAGUGAUGAAGGUUUUCGGAUCGUAAAGCUCUGUUGUUAGGGAAGAACAAGUGCGAGAGUAACUGCUCGCACCUUGACGGUACCUAACCAGAAAGCCACGGCUAACUACGUGCCAGCAGCCGCGGUAAUACGUAGGUGGCAAGCGUUGUCCGGAAUUAUUGGGCGUAAAGGGCUCGCAGGCGGUUUCUUAAGUCUGAUGUGAAAGCCCCCGGCUCAACCGGGGAGGGUCAUUGGAAACUGGGAAACUUGAGUGCAGAAGAGGAGAGUGGAAUUCCACGUGUAGCGGUGAAAUGCGUAGAGAUGUGGAGGAACACCAGUGGCGAAGGCGACUCUCUGGUCUGUAACUGACGCUGAGGAGCGAAAGCGUGGGGAGCGAACAGGAUUAGAUACCCUGGUAGUCCACGCCGUAAACGAUGAGUGCUAAGUGUUAGGGGGUUUCCGCCCCUUAGUGCUGCAGCUAACGCAUUAAGCACUCCGCCUGGGGAGUACGGUCGCAAGACUGAAACUCAAAGGA